GGCUCAAGCGAUCCUUCUGUCUCAGCCUCCCGAGUAGCUGGGACUACAGGCAUGUGCCACCAUGCCCAGCUAAACAAGAACACCUUUAAAAACAUAUUGAGUUUGCAAAAGAAAAUCCUCCUGAAGCCAGAACAAAAUGAGCAUGCAUUGAGGGAGCUCUGCCUCCUGCCUCUCAGUUCAGUCAAAUGAGAACAUGAUACUUGAUGCUGCUCCAGCCAUAUUGUGACCACAAGCUGGCAAGCCUAAAAGUGACAAGCCGCCAUGCUGAGGAUGAGAACAGAAAGGCAGAAAGAACCUGGGACUGGGAUGACAUCCUUAAACUGCUACCCCAAACCUGGAUCUGCCUGCCUCCAGACAGCUUUUUCUGAGAUAUUCUGCGGUAGUGCUGGCUUUAGCUAACGGCAUCUUAGAUCCGAUGGAAAAGGGCACCCAGAGGUAACCGCAGUGGACAGUUCCCUGCCAGCUCACUCUCACAAUAUUGCCUCCAGUGUGUUGCGAGUCUUCUCACUUUCUGCUGAAAAUAAGUCCGCCUGGACAAGCACAGCACAGCUUGGCAGUGUGGGGGUUAACAGCCCCAGGGACAGCCUUCAGCUACCAGUGGGGUCUUGCUAAGUUGCCCAGGCUGGAAUGUAGUGUCUAUUCGCAGGCAUGAUCAUAAUCGGCCUCAAGUGAUCCUCUUGCCUCAGCUUCCCAGGCUAGAAAGUAUCCUUCAUAUAAUGAAGACUCGAAUUGCAUCUUAUCAUCAUGUCCCGGAACACUUCUCUGAAAGAAUAUGAUGUCACUUUUUGUAUCAUUGAUACUAUCAGGAGGACUGAUUUCCUAUAGAGAGAAAACAACAUCGCCUAAUUAUUUUAGGACAUGAAUAAUUUGUAUGUAUGCAGUUUAUUUCGAAGUUAUUACUGAAUAGAAUGAAAGCAGUUUUCCCCCCAAGAGUUAAUUAAAAAAAAAUCUGAAUAUGGCAAUACUGAUUUUCUCUCCUUCUUAUAAUUCCUAAUCUUCUAUUGUCCCUGUCUACUCUCUUCCCAUCAGGAAACGCACAUUCAGUUCCAGGCCUCUAGUCUUCCCCUAUCCAUCAGAAAGCUUCCUUCUCUCCUCUCCCACUGAGUGGAGUCCCCAUCUGUUCAAGAUGAAGUUGAGUUCUAGCAAAACCCACAACUUUUUGUCAAUUCCUGUCUUCUCCAACUAUUCACAGCUAAAGACAUUGAUGACCUCCUCCCAUAAACCUAGGCUAGCUCUAAUUUCUGAGCCUAUUGUGAGAGAGGCAGAAAUUCUCAGGAUUGUCAGCUCUUUCUUUCAGUGGAGCUGGGAGCUGGGAGCUGAAACUUACUGUAAAUAGACCCAGUACUUGUUCUAGGGCUAGGUCCUGGGUUUCUGCACAGCCCUGAUGUAUUGGCUCAGUCAGGAGCCCUAGAUUCUUUCUCCUAGCCAAGCACUCCAAUUCCAUAGGAGUCUUGAAUUUCGGUCCUCAAUGUAAUCUAGUUAGCUGGGCCCUGUCCUGGAAGGCCAAAUGCUGAUUCCUGUACCUUUCAGCCACAGGAUAGGGUCUUAUAAAGAAAGAAUGGUUAAAGUACUUAAAACUAUAAUUCUGCUGGUCUCCAACUGCUAGUAUUGCCUGCAUUUUUUCUAUUAUUGCAUAAUGUCUACUUUUCGGUGUAGGCCAGAAAAUGUGGGGAUCACCCAAAAUUCUUCCAGGUUAAUCCUGGAGCCAGUAGACAUUUUGGAUUUAAUUUUGGCCCCAUGACAGCAAAGAUUCUCAUGAUCCUAGGGGCUGACAGAGAAACCUCUAGAAUUAAAAUAGCAUUUCAUCCUCCUCCUAAGAGGGCUGAAAGACUCUGAGAGGUACCUCCAACUUCUCAAUCAAUUAUGGAAUUGACAGUCAUAACUAUUCACAUUUGUUCUUUGCCAACAAGUGUAGGUCCUUAAAUAAUAACUAGAAUAAACUAGUUCCCUCGUUGCUAUCUGCUUCUGCAGCUGCCUAAAUAUUCCACAAUUUAGUGAAAGAUCUGAAGCUGUGGGACUCAAUUUGAGACUAAGCUGAAGUCUAAUGUGUGAAAAUAAUCCUUAGCUAAAGCUUCAAAACUCUAGUAACAUUACAGAGGAAGAUGAAUGUGUUAAUUCAAACCUAACAUGGAAAAUUAUAGUUGAAGGUGGGAUCAUGGAUAGGUAGAAGAGAUGAUCUCUUUAAUCACAGUUCAAUGUCACAUUUUAGAAUAGAGGCAAGAAAAUCCUGAGGCAGUAGCUUUCCUUAGUUUUGAUGUUGAUCACUUGUAGCACUUAUGGAGAAGGCACACAGCACGUGGAUGUGGAAACAGUUCUGAUGGCCCUGGAGAACUCUCAACUUGGCAAGGCCUACCUGAGUGCUCCAAAGGCCAAAGGAUUUUCUUUCUUUCUUUCUUUCUUUCUUUCUUUCUUUCUUUCUUUCUUUCUUUCUUUCUUUCUUUCUUUCUUUCUUUCUUUCUUUCUUUCUUUCUUUCUUUCUUUCUUUCUUUCUUUCUUUCAUCAGGAAGAGCUGAAUCUGAACCUAGGGAAAGUUAAGCUUGACCUAACAUCUGUUCUUUUCCCCCCUCCCGAAUACACUAGAAAGUCUGAGAGAAGCCUGGCCAAUCCUGGAUGUAUAUAUAAGAAACAGACACUGACAGUAGCCUCUUUUUUUCUGUUUUUGUUUUUGAGACAGAGUCUUACUCUGUCACACAGGCUAGAGU
This is a non-coding RNA of Microcebus murinus (gray mouse lemur), 2702 nucleotides long. NCBI's taxonomy places the organism in Eukaryota, Metazoa, Chordata, Mammalia, Primates, Cheirogaleidae. The record is from RefSeq and is a predicted model, not a curated record.